Molecule: small nuclear RNA, 165 nt
Organism: Sorex fumeus (smoky shrew)
Lineage: Eukaryota; Metazoa; Chordata; Mammalia; Eulipotyphla; Soricidae
Product: U1 spliceosomal RNA
Exons: 1
Source: RefSeq, a predicted model, not a curated record
GCACUUACUUGACAUGGGGAGAUACCAUGAUCACAAAGGUGAUUUUCCAAGGCCGAGGCUUAUCCAUUGAACUCUGGAUUUACUGAUCCGUGCGAUUUCCCCAAAUGUGGGAAACUUGAUUGCAUAAUUUGCGGUAGUGAAGGAAUGUGUUCGCAUUCUCCCCAU